CGGGUGAGUAAUAUAUCGGAACGUGCCCAGUAUGGGGGAUAACUGCUCGAAAGAGCAGCUAAUACCGCAUACGACCUGAGGGUGAAAGGGGGGAUCGCAAGACCUCUCGCUAUUGGAGCGGCCGAUAUCAGAUUAGCUAGUUGGUGGGGUAAAGGCCUACCAAGGCAACGAUCUGUAGUUGGUCUGAGAGGACGACCAGCCACACUGGGACUGAGACACGGCCCAG
This 226-nucleotide ribosomal RNA is filed under the name uncultured bacterium. RNAcentral describes it as "partial 16S ribosomal RNA". It matches the Rfam family "Bacterial small subunit ribosomal RNA", at positions 103 to 334 of the family's 1533-position model. The record is from RNAcentral.